This 906-nucleotide ribosomal RNA is filed under the name uncultured organism. Its description in RNAcentral is "bacterial SSU rRNA". It matches the Rfam family "Bacterial small subunit ribosomal RNA", at positions 58 to 969 of the family's 1533-position model. The record is from RNAcentral.
CAAGUCGAGCGAGAAACUACCUAUGACCCUUCGGGGGAUUAGACUAGUGGACAGCGGCGGACGGGUGAGUAACGCGUAAAUAACCUGCCAUACACACAAGGAUAGCCAUCGGAAACGGUGAUUAAUACUUGAUGAGGCUACAGAUUCGCAUGAAUCAGUAGUUAAAGAAUUUUGGUGUAUGAUGGAUUUGCGUUUGAUUAGCUAGUUGGUAAGGUAAAAGCUUACCAAGGCGAUGAUCAAUAGCCGGCCUGAGAGGGUGAACGGCCACACUGGAACUGAGACACGGUCCAGACUCCUACGGGAGGCAGCAGUGGGGAAUAUUGCACAAUGGAGGAAACUCUGAUGCAGCAACGCCGCGUGAACGAAGAAGGCUUUCGAGUCGUAAAGUUCUGUUAUAGGGGAAGAAGAAGUGACGGUACCCUAUGAGAAAGCCACGGCUAAUUACGUGCCAGCAGCCGCGGUAAUACGUAAGUGGCAAGCGUUAUCCGGAAUUACUGGGCAUAAAGAGUUCGUAGGCGGUCAAUCAAGCCAAUAGUGAAAUCCAUCGGCCUAACCGAUGUAAGCUAAUGGAACUGAGUGACUUGAGUACAGGAGAGGAAAGUGGAAUUCCUAGUGUAGUAGUGAAAUGCGUAGAUAUUAGGAAGAACAUCAGUAGCGAAGGCGACUUUCUGGACUGUAACUGACGCUGAGGAACGAAAGCGUGGGGAGCGAACAGGAUUAGAUACCCUGGUAGUCCACGCCGUAAACGAUGGAUACUUGGUGUUGGCCGUAAAGGUCGGUGCCGGAGCAAAUGUAUUACGUAUCCCGCCUGGGGAGUACGGUCGCAAGGCUGAAACUCAAAAGAAUUGACGGGGACCCGCACAAGCAGCGGAGCAUGUGGUUUCAUUCGAAGCAAACGCGAAGAAC